RNAcentral lists this transfer RNA (66 nucleotides) under Chaetocnema scheffleri. RNAcentral describes it as "tRNA-Ile". Lineage: Eukaryota; Metazoa; Arthropoda; Insecta; Coleoptera; Chrysomelidae. The record is from RNAcentral.
UGUAUGAUGCCUGAAUAAAGGAUGAUUUUGAUAGAAUCAAUUAUGUGGCCCCCCCCACUCUUACAA